GGUCACUCUACCCUAGGGCUGUAGGGGGUCCCAUUUCUCCUUAGUCAAUGAUGGAGGCCAAGAUUGGCCCUUAAGGGCCACCAUAAGGACUGCCAUGAGCUGGGCAACCUUGUUUUCCUACUGCAGACAUUU
This 132-nucleotide small nucleolar RNA is filed under the name Carlito syrichta (Philippine tarsier). The record is from RNAcentral. Lineage: Eukaryota; Metazoa; Chordata; Mammalia; Primates; Tarsiidae.